This 463-nucleotide ribosomal RNA is filed under the name uncultured bacterium. RNAcentral's name for it is "partial 16S ribosomal RNA". It matches the Rfam family "Bacterial small subunit ribosomal RNA", at positions 28 to 507 of the family's 1533-position model. The record is from RNAcentral.
GAUGAACGCUGACGGAAUGCUUAACACAUGCAAGUCGAAGGGGAAGUGGUGCUUUCACCAUGGUAACCAUGGCGGACGGGGGAGUAACGCGUAAGGAACUUACCUGCGGGACCUGGAUAACAGCAGGAAACUGCUCACAAGACCGGAGAAGGGCAUUAAUGCGCCUAGCUGAGUGAUGAAAGGAGACGCCUGCGGAGAGCCUUGCGUCCUCUUAUCUAGUUGGAGGUGUAGCAGCGCACCACGGCGAAGAUAGGUAGCGGGCCUGAGAGGGGGGACGGCCACAAGGGGACUGAGACACCGCACUUACCUCCGCGAGAGGGAGGAGUGGGAAAUAGUGGACUAGGGGGGCAACUGUGAUCGAGCCAUUCUGUGUGCACGAAGACGGUUUUCGGAGUGUACAGUGCUUUCAGCAGGGAAGAAGGAAGUGACGGUACCUGCAGAAGAAGCGACGGCUAAAUACGUG